This 497-nucleotide ribosomal RNA is filed under the name uncultured bacterium. Its description in RNAcentral is "partial 16S ribosomal RNA". It matches the Rfam family "Bacterial small subunit ribosomal RNA", at positions 28 to 507 of the family's 1533-position model. The record is from RNAcentral.
GAUGAACGCUGGCGGCGUGCCUAAUACAUGCAAGUCGAGCGAACAGACGAGGAGCUUGCUCCUCUGACGUUAGCGGCGGACGGGUGAGUAACACGUGGAUAACCUACCUAUAAGACUGGGAUAACUUCGGGAAACCGGAGCUAAUACCGGAUAAUAUAUUGAACCGCAUGGUUCAAUAGUGAAAGACGGUUUUGCUGUCACUUAUAGAUGGAUCCGCGCCGCAUUAGCUAGUUGGUAAGGUAACGGCUUACCAAGGCAACGAUGCGUAGCCGACCUGAGAGGGUGAUCGGCCACACUGGAACUAGGACACGGUCCAGACUCCUACGGGAGGCAGCAGUAGGGAAUCGUCCGCAAUGGGCGAAAGCCUGACGGAGCAACGCCGCGUGAGUGAUGAAGUUCUUCGGAUCGUAAAACUCUGUUAUGAGGGAAGAACAAAUGUGUAAGUAACUAUGCACGGCUUGACGGUACCUAAUCAGAAAGCCACGGCUAACUACGUG